RNAcentral lists this unclassified non-coding RNA (301 nucleotides) under Hevea brasiliensis (rubber tree). Lineage: Eukaryota; Viridiplantae; Streptophyta; Magnoliopsida; Malpighiales; Euphorbiaceae. The record is from RNAcentral.
AAGGCUGCAGGCUGGCGGUACUCUUGUGACCCUGAUAGAAGGUGGGAAGCUGCUGAAAACCGAACCUGUUUCCAUCGUAGUAAGCGUCGGCCUCGAUGUAGUCAAAGUCUAGCCCAAUCCGCUUGUUAGGAUUUCGGAUGCUCAUGUUGAGGCUGAGGUUGUAUUGGAGAUUGUUGGUGGUGUUGGCGAGGUUGAACUGGGAGAGGGUGGCGCUGUCAACGUGGACUUCGAGCUUGUUGGGGCGGAAGACGAGCCAUAGGACGAGGACGAUGAUGCCGAGGAUAACGAUGAUGGUGAUGAU